AUUUAAAAAAGUAUUUUAGAUAGAAAGGAGUUUACAUGUUGAUAUAUUACUUAUGAGUGUUUACUUUACUUCAGUGUAUUGGUCUGAUCAGGGAAUAGAUAAUAUUGUUUCAUCAAUCACUGCAAUUUUUGACCAAUUCUAAAUCAAUCAACCAUUUAUCAAGUUGGUGAGACACGGUUAUAAUGAACUCUGUUGUAAAAAAGAUUAGGGGACAAAGAUAGUGCAGCUACAAAGCAUAGUCAUAAAAUUCAUAGUCAAUAGCGCUAUUGUUUACCGUAUUGUUAGCGUUUUUUUAGAACCCAGCCUACCAAUAAAUGCACACUUUUGGUAAACAAUGGCGCAUUAAAUGGAAUAUUUGCAAGAAGAUUAUCAGUUUAUUCUUGAUUUUGGCAUAUGCCUUGUCUUAAUUGUUAUAUAUUUAGUUCAAGAACUUCUCGAAGAAGUAUAAAUGUUUUUCUGUUUGAAAUACAUUCUUCCAAUGAUCUUUAUAACAAAGAAUCGAGUUUUACGAAAUAAAAAUAAAAAUACAUCUUUACUUAUAAUAUAUAACAACUAAAGAUAUAAUAUGAUAUCAGAUAAAAAAACAAGUUCAACUUCACAAUAAAUAAUUUUUAUAACUUCUUUUUAUUAACAUGAAUGAUAGCUUUGUAUCAUCUUCCAAGAAAACGAACCUUUAAAAGCUCAUGGAAGGUGAAUGAACAUGAACUUUUUUUAAAGAAACAAAAUUCAUGAACUUAUUUGUAGAACACGUUGCAGCAAAGAUCGUUUGUAAAAAUAAGAAUGUUUUUUUAAACGAAAUUCUUGAACUUAAUUGUAGAAGACGUUUGCUUAAUCUCAGUUUAUGCAUUUAUUUGCUGUGUUAAAGAGACACUAUUUGAAUGCUGCUAUGUUAUUUUAAGUACGUAGAAAUCUCGUUUUACUGAGUCGAAUUUGUGCUAAAAUUCAGUACAACGAUUUUUCAACUUUUUUUAAGGUAGUGUUAGACAAAUCUUUUUUUGAUGUGUUUCUUUUUAAAAACAUAUUCUUGAAAAUAAGAAAGGUAUAGCAUUUUUAUAUAAUUUUUUUGUUACUAAACUUUAGAUAAAAAAACAAUUGACGAGAUUUAAUGCCUUUUGACAAGAUGAGACUUUUGACUGGAUUACAAGUAAUAUACUAGUUUUAAUAAUACUAGGUUAUGCAAUAACUGUAUAAAUUAUUUUUCAAAACUAUUUAUAAUAGUUUUGACAAUACUUCACUAUAAUACAAUAGUAUUGACAAUACUUUAACAAUUUAUAGUAUUACUAUAAAAUAACUAUUAAAGUAUUGUACUGUCAAAAAUUGUUCUAUGCAAUCUAAAAGUAAUAGUCAAUCUUUUCAUCUAUAAUUGCAAAAAUUUAAUAUUUGACUUGUCUGAGUACUGGCUAUUGCUAAUCAAUCAAUUUGUUUCAGAUUCCGAAGAAAAGUCUACAGAGGUAGAAAAAAGUAAUAUUUACAUUAUUUAUUGAUGUGACAAUCUUUUGUUGUUUAUCAUCUUUAAUUUUUAAUUUUAUUUAGAAUUACCAUUCGUAAAUUUUACACAUCGCAAACUUUAUUGAUAAAAACCUAAUAAGUUAGCAUUUCCUUAUUAACUAUGCUUGCUUUUUAUUAUCUUCUGGUAAUAAGAGCAUGCAAGAGUGCUUUACAACGAAACGAGAUCAAAAGUUACGACAAGCUAAAAGGCGCGGAUGUAUUCGCUGACAAAGUUUAUAAAUAUAAAUUAACAAGAAGAGUGUCUGAAGCACUACUAGCUGCCCCAAGCUGUUUUAGUAAAUUUAUUAUUUAAAAAAAUUAUUGUGUUUAAUAAAUGAGCUUUUUAUUUAA
Hydra vulgaris (swiftwater hydra) is the source of this 1839-nucleotide non-coding RNA. Lineage: Eukaryota; Metazoa; Cnidaria; Hydrozoa; Anthoathecata; Hydridae. The record is from RefSeq and is a predicted model, not a curated record.